This 651-nucleotide long non-coding RNA is filed under the name Salvia miltiorrhiza (redroot sage). Its description in RNAcentral is "long non-coding RNA (SMIL_LNC011948)". The record is from RNAcentral. Lineage: Eukaryota; Viridiplantae; Streptophyta; Magnoliopsida; Lamiales; Lamiaceae.
AAUAUUCCCAUUCCCUCUUCUCUUUCCAGUUCAAGCCCUAAUUGUCGACCAUGGAGAUUCAAGAACCAGAUUCGCGAACUCGCAAGCCCUAAUUGCUUCCUCUGUGCUUCCUAACGUCUGUCGUCUUCCCUGUCUCCAUCACCAAAUUCGCAAGCCCUAAUUGCUCCUCUGUGCUCCAUCACCAAAUUCGUCUCCAUCACCAAAUUCACGUCCGCGAAGACGCCCUAUUGCGUCUGUUAAGAGCUGCGUCGGCAGGUAUUGAAGAACCAGAGUCGAAGGACUCGAGCAGAGCCCUAAUUCGAAGAAGAGGUGUUGGUUCGCGAGCUUCUGAAAUUCGUAGGAAACUGAAAUUUGUACUUGUGCUUUCAAAUUAGAAGGGAGCCAUGAGAGAGCAGGGUGAAGGAAGCAAGGAGAAGGGAGCCAUGAGAGAGUGGUACACAUUUUUUUCAAUUUCGAACUAUGAUUGUUCUGUUUCAAUUGAGUUCUUAUGUUUAAUGAUUGAUAUUUCUUUCAAUUUGCAGUAAUUAUUUUGCUCUUUUCAUACACCAUGGUGGAUAUUUUGUUGAUGUUGAUGGAGUUGAAUGCUAUAUGAAGGGGCAUUAUAUAGGAAGAUAUGACUUUGAAGAGCAUAAUUUCGAUUUGGAGAAACUU